CCUACGGGAGGCAGCAGUGGGGAAUAUUGGACAAUGGGGGGAACCCUGAUCCAGCGACGCCGCGUGAGUGAAGAAGUAUUUCGGUAUGUAAAGCUCUAUCAGCAGGGAAGAAAAUGACGGUACCUGAUUAAGAAGCCCCGGCUAACUACGUGCCAGCAGCCGCGGUAAUACGUAGGGGGCAAGCGUUAUCCGGAUUUACUGGGUGUAAAGGGAGCGUAGACGGCGCAACAAGUCUGAUGUGAAAGGUCGGGGCCCAACCCCGGGACUGCAUUGGAAACUGUGGAACUGGAGUGCAGGAGAGGUAAGCGGAAUUCCUAGUGUAGCGGUGAAAUGCGUAGAUAUUAGGAGGAACACCAGUGGCGAAGGCGGCUUACUGGACUGUAACUGACGUUGAGGCUCGAAAGCGUGGGGAGCAAACAGGAUUAGAUACCCGUGUAGUC
RNAcentral lists this ribosomal RNA (440 nucleotides) under uncultured bacterium. RNAcentral describes it as "partial 16S ribosomal RNA". It matches the Rfam family "Bacterial small subunit ribosomal RNA", at positions 338 to 795 of the family's 1533-position model. The record is from RNAcentral.